AACGCACAUUGCGCCCUCUGGUAUUCCGGGGGGCAUGCCUGUCCGAGCGUCAUUGCUAUACCUCAAGCCCGGCUUGUGUGUUGGGCCUACCGUCCCUUUGGACGGUGACCCGAAAGGCAGUGGCGGCGUCGCGUCCUGGUCCUUGAAGCGUAUGGGGCUUUGUCACCCGCUUAGAGGCCGGCCGACACCGUAGCCCAUCGUGGAUCUUCCACAAUUUUUUUCUGAUGGACCUCGGAUCAGGUAGGGAUACCCGCUGAACUUAA
RNAcentral lists this unclassified non-coding RNA (263 nucleotides) under uncultured fungus. Its description in RNAcentral is "partial contains 5.8S ribosomal RNA, internal transcribed spacer 2, and large subunit ribosomal RNA". The record is from RNAcentral. Lineage: Eukaryota; Fungi.